Molecule: long non-coding RNA, 1823 nt
Organism: Oenanthe melanoleuca
Lineage: Eukaryota; Metazoa; Chordata; Aves; Passeriformes; Muscicapidae
Exons: 4
Source: RefSeq, a predicted model, not a curated record
CCUGAGCUAAACAUUCCCCUGGAUGUCUGGAUUUACAUUGCACUCAGGCUGCAAAGCUUUUCCUUGUCCACAGGGGUUAAUCUUGACCAUCUUCCAAAUAGAAGAAUUGGCUCCAGCUUCCAUUUUCAAGCACAGAAAUCUAAAUUUCACCUCUGAGUGUUGCAGAUUACAAAACUACUCUACGUAAAAUCGUGCAUCAGAUCCUUCCUGCAAACUGGAACAAAUCUAGGAAAUAGAGCUGUAUCGGUUUACAAAAGCUUCUCUGGAUGUGGGAAAAAAUUAACACUGGCUGCUACUUUUCUACAUUCAUUUACAACAUUCUUCUCCUCUGAAAUUUCCUGUUUGGUGAAUGGCACCACAACUGCAGCACACAGGGGCUCAGUCUCCCACUUGAUGCAGCUGGGGCUGUCCCCUGCUGCCUGCUGACUUCCCGCAGGGAUGCUGGUUUAAAUGCCAUACCUGUGACCUGAAGUAAUGUGUGACUUCAAGGGUGUUUGCUGGAAAAUGAGAACCUCACCCUGUGACUCUUAAUUAAAAUGGUUUGAAAAAUGUGUCAGCAAGACAAGAUUUUCCCCUUCAGCCUCAGAGGAAGUUCAGAUGUAAAUCUGAAGUGCUCUCUACAGCUACCACCCCCUGCACAACUGCUCAGAAUCUUCACAGAUUACAUCAGGAGAAGGAAGAGGAUCUGAGACUUUAUUGCUGUAUCACCACUCACAAAGCAGGUCCAGAUAGCAAAGACCAUGCAGGAGAAGCUGCCACAAGCUGCUUCAUGCCUAACUCAGCUGCCUAACAUCUGACAAUGCUCCCACAAGGCAGCUGUGCACUCCAGUGCUCAAGGGAUACAGACUGCACCGACUGGGAGAUGGCACAUGAGAAUCCUGAUUCCUGGCACACUGCUCUUCAUCAGCCACAGACAUCUAAGCACACGGAAUUGGAGGGCUAAAAACAGUCUUGAUUUAUUCAUCUGAUUCAGAGCUAUCUUGCCAGAUAUAUUAUGAAAAAAUCCAUACCCAUAAUUUAUCCUCAGACUGAUACAUUUCAUUACACUGUGGAUUCAUGGGGAAACACGAAAAAAUGAGUUUCUCAAGUUUUUUGGGACUGUGUAGUUUUAUAGAUAUAGCUGCACCAAGGCUGGAAUUUAGUCACAUUUUAUAUAAUAUUUAAACUAUACCAAUGCAUUACAAGGAUAAACUAAUGCAGUGUAAUGAUGUGCCAUAGAUAAGACUAAUUAGCAUUUUCUUAGAGACAGAGCCUAAAAGAGUCUGGCAUUCAGAACUGCAGAUCCAGAAAUUUUCAAGAUUAUCAGCAAAAGUGGACAGACAAUAAAAAGAUCAACAAGGAUGGGUGAUUUCAGAAAAAGAUUACAGACUAUCACACCAACCACUUUUUAUUUAAUAAAGGAUGUUUAUUUAAAUAGUUCAGAGUCAAACUAUAACAUAUUUCCAUCAGACAAAAACCCGGCAUUUUAGAACGUUAAUUCAGGCAACCAUUUCUUCUUCAGGAUACCAUAUUCAGGUAACCAUUUUCUAGCUUUUAUUUGUAUUAUACACAUAUUUCUCACAGGGAGAAAUAGAACUUGAAUGCCAAAUUAAAACCAGCAUUAUUGGAAGACUUAACAAUAAGUGUGAAGACAGAAGCGUGUAAGCCUGAGGAUAAAAUAAAUCCAUCAUAAUAUAAUUCCACAAAAUAAAGAUGAGGUUAAUCUGAAACCUAUGAAAAUUAAUAUCAAGAUUUUAAUUGACCUCAGCAGGUUUCUGCAGCUAGGCAUGUUCAGCAUGAUGGUUCAGUGUAAUUUUGUACUGUUUCUAAAGAAUGUUCACCCC